This is a long non-coding RNA of Setaria italica (foxtail millet), 1204 nucleotides long. RefSeq lists it as uncharacterized. The transcript is spliced from 3 exons. The record is from RefSeq and is a predicted model, not a curated record. NCBI's taxonomy places the organism in Eukaryota, Viridiplantae, Streptophyta, Magnoliopsida, Poales, Poaceae.
UGAUGACAACUUGGGUUGAAACUUGAAAUUUGAAAGGCCUUCUUGUUAAAAAAAUAAGAAAGUUUUCCAUGGUUAAAUUCUCAUCUGAAAGGUAGAAUAGUUUGAUGAUUGACCUAGACAUGUAUAAGCGUUUUAUUUUAAAUCUAAAAGGAAGAACGCAUGCCCUCAAAACAUGGAGCAAGGUGCCAUUUGUUUAUUUCAUCUUUAUGUCAACCUUUGGAAGUGUGAAGGUGACAUCAGUGGCAAGAGAUUAGGCCCCCUGUUUAAGCUACCUGUCCAAACUGAGCGUGCGCAGCUAGGCGCUGUUUGUUUCUAUGGCUCUGCUUGUUGCUGCCGUUCCAUUCCUGGGAUCCAUUGUCAACUUUGUCUCGUUGGAGUUUGGUAUAAUUAUUGACAAUUGCGCGUGCAUUAGCUCUCAUCGAGGCCUUUAUGCCUUAUAGAAUCUGUCUAAAUUUGUGCUGUUUCUAAGGUGGACUUGUUUAGGGUUUCUAGCUUGUUUUUUUCUUAUGUACAAUUUUUUAAAAGCUGAUGGUUGAUUCUAAUCACUCGCUGACUCAUUUCAUUUUUCGUGCAGAUUUCUCAGAAACCUACUGAAGAAAUACUUGAGUAGUCUGCACACUUCUUGUUUUCUUGGUGAGAGCUAAUUAGAAAGGGAUGUCAGCUAGCUAGGUUAGGUGUGGAUCAAGUGCCUAACACACUACUUAACGAAAUUUAGCCGUACCAAGUUUGCAACCCCGAAGAGUUAGUCCGCUGAAUUGCAGGCCUAAAGACCACAGCUGCCGGACACUUCAUGGUGGGAGCCCAAUUCUUUUUGCGCCAUACAGAGAUUGGAAAGGAGGGCCCGGCCUCUGAAAGCUCUCAGAGCUCGAGGUGUUCUUUGCCGCUUCUCCAAACUUGGAACCGAAGCACAAAGCUUCUGUUCUCGCAGCAAUUCUGGGGUCUCUCUAGUAACCUACGGACGGAAAGUUUGUGCUGAGUUUUGACUGCUUGUUUCUCCAGGUUCUGCUGAUCAUGAUUACUCCGUGUUGCUUAUGGCGUUAAGCAGUAAUCUCUCGCUGUUUUGUUGUGCGUAACCAUGAAAUCAUUAGAACUAAGCUAUGCUCAACAAACGUGUCGCAAACCCCCGCAAGAUUGCUUUGUACAGCAGACAUAUUCUGCGAUGUGACUGAAUUAGUUGCUUGGAAGAUAACAUAUUUUAGACGAA